GGAGGUGUGGCUCAGAGUUAGAGCAAUUGCCUAGCAUGCACAAGGCCCUGGGUUCAAUCCCCAGCACCAAUA
Molecule: non-coding RNA, 72 nt
Organism: Ictidomys tridecemlineatus (thirteen-lined ground squirrel)
Lineage: Eukaryota; Metazoa; Chordata; Mammalia; Rodentia; Sciuridae
Source: Rfam